CACUCUGGUUCGUUUCCCUCCUUGGCAGGGUGUAGGCUGGCGCGGCUGCGGUGGGUGCGGAGGCUGCGAUGGCGCUGCCCGAGUGGCACAUCGCGGUGAAGCUGGCGGAUCAGCCCCUGGCUCCCAAAUCCAUCCUGCACUUGCCAGAGACAGAGUUGGGGGACUGCCCGCUCGGGGGGUGCAGCAUCUCCUACCUCAAGCAGCUCAUCACAGGCAAGCUGCAGGAGUCCGUCCCCGACCCCGAGCUCAUCGAUCUGAUCUACUGUGGCCGUAAGCUGAGGGAUGACCAGACACUUGAUUUUUAUGGCAUCCAGUCGGGCUCCACCGUUCAUGUCCUGCGCAAGUCCUGGCCUGAGCCUGACCAGAAACCAGAGCCUGUGGAUAAGGUGGCAGCAGUCCGGGAGUUCCGGGUGCUUCACACUGCCCUGCACAGCAGUCCUGCCUACAGAGAUGCAGUCUUCAAGAUGCUGGGGAACAAGGAGUCACUGGAUCAGAUCAUUGUAGCUACUCCCGGCCUCAGUAGUGACCCUGUUGCUUUGGGAGUCCUGCAGGACAAGGAUCUCUUUUCAGUGUUUGCAGACCCCAACAUGCUGGACACGCUAAUCCCAGCUCACCCUGCCCUGGUGAAUGCCAUCGUCCUUGUCCUGCACUCGGUGGCUGGCAGCACCCCGCUCCCAGCCCCGGACACAUCCUCCCGGGGCAUGUCCUCUGGCUCCUACCGGGACAUGCCAGGUGGCUUUCUGUUCGAAGGUCUCUCUGAUGAUGAAGAUGACUUCCAUCAGAGCACCAGAUCCACACCAUCCAGCAGCACCUCUGGUUCCCGCCCGGCUUCCCUUGGCUACACUGGGGCUGCUGGGCCCCGGCCCAUCACCCAGAGCGAGCUGGCCACCGCGCUGGCACUGGCGAGCACCCCAGAGAGCAGCUCCCACACACCCACUCCUGGCACCCAGGGUCAUUCCUCUGGGACCUCCCCAAUGUCAUCCAGUGUCCAGUCAGGAACACCCAUCACCAAUGACCUCUUCAGCCAGGCCUUACAGCAUGCCCUGCAAGCCUCGGGGCAGCCCAGCCUGCAGAGCCAGUGGCAACCACAGCUUCAGCAGCUGCGAGACAUGGGCAUCCACGAUGACGAGCUGAGCCUCCGAGCCCUGCAGGCCACUGGAGGAGACAUUCAGGCUGCCCUGGAGCUCAUCUUUGCUGGUGGAGCUCCCUAGCUUCUUGGGCAGGAGAAGCUGCACUGGCAAACUUUGGAGGAAGGAGGGAGGUUUUACUGAUGCUGGGACAACUGAUGAGGAAUAAGAGAGACUUGUAGUGUCCCCGUACCCUGCAGCAAGGAGUCCUGUGGCUUGGCCACAGCUUCGGAGUCCACGACCCACAAGUGUGUUCCACAGCUGGAAGGAGAUGUGCAGACAUGGGGCUGCGGCACAGGUAACUUGUGGGAUGCCAUGUUCCAAAGGGGAUGACGGUCCUGGAAAGCUCCGAGGUUUCAGUUUUGGGUGCCUGGGACUGAAGCAGCACCAGGUGACAAGGACAGGAGGAAGGAACCUGUCGCUCUUGCUAAAGCAGAAAGUGUUGCUGAUGGCAUGUUGCUGUGUAACCCCCCUGGAAUCCUGCAGGACAGACUCCACACUGUUUACCCUGUGUGUAAAUGCUUUGGGUAUGGCCUCAUUCCAGGGAAGGGAUGAAAUGUUUACAGUCCUGUCUCCACAGGAUUCCUUUCUCAGCUGUAACUCCCUGGCAUUAAAUGCUUUGAUCCCAGAGGAUCUUCAGUUACACAUAACUCAAUCAUCCCAUGGAUCCUGCCAGAUGCUGUCUGGUCAAGCAAGUUCAUGUCCAUUUAUUCUUUUUCCACCUCAUGUUUUCAUCCUUCUCUUCAUCCCCUCCCAACAGUCUGUGACCUGCUUGCUUGUGGCUUUCCCAGUUGAGUUGCAUGGAAGUGAUUUGGAUGCUGAAAAACGAAGCAGAUAACAGACAUGAAGCUUGUGCAAGGAAGGGCAGCUCUUUCCUACCCAG
Molecule: RNA transcript, 2010 nt
Organism: Neopsephotus bourkii (Bourke's parrot)
Lineage: Eukaryota; Metazoa; Chordata; Aves; Psittaciformes; Psittacidae
Gene: UBL7
Gene name: ubiquitin like 7
Exons: 12
Source: RefSeq, a predicted model, not a curated record